UACGUAGGGUGCAAGCGUUGUCCGGAAUUAUUGGGCGUAAAGAGCUUGUAGGCGGUUUGUCGCGUCUGCUGUGAAAUUUCGGGGCUCAACCCCGAACUUGCAGUGGGUACGGGCAGACUAGAGUGUGGUAGGGGAGACUGGAAUUCCUGGUGUAGCGGUGAAAUGCGCAGAUAUCAGGAGGAACACCGAUGGCGAAGGCGGGUCUCUGGACAGUUCCUGACACUGAGGCACGAAGGCCAGGGGAGCAAACGGG
RNAcentral lists this ribosomal RNA (253 nucleotides) under uncultured bacterium. RNAcentral describes it as "partial 16S ribosomal RNA". It matches the Rfam family "Bacterial small subunit ribosomal RNA", at positions 524 to 776 of the family's 1533-position model. The record is from RNAcentral.